AGGGGUGCAGCUCAGUGGUAGAGCACGUGCUUGCUGCGCACAGGGUCCUGGGUGCAAUCCCCAGUGCCUCUG
RNAcentral lists this transfer RNA (72 nucleotides) under Camelus bactrianus (Bactrian camel). It matches the Rfam family "tRNA". From Rfam's summary of the family: Transfer RNA (tRNA) molecules are approximately 80 nucleotides in length. Their secondary structure includes four short double-helical elements and three loops (D, anti-codon, and T loops). Further hydrogen bonds mediate the characteristic L-shaped molecular structure. tRNAs have two regions of fundamental functional importance: the anti-codon, which is responsible for specific mRNA codon recognition, and the 3' end, to which the tRNAs corresponding amino acid is attached (by aminoacyl-tRNA synthetases). tRNAs cope with the degeneracy of the genetic code in two manners: having more than one tRNA (with a specific anti-codon) for a particular amino acid; and 'wobble' base-pairing, i.e. permitting non-standard base-pairing at the 3rd anti-codon position. Lineage: Eukaryota; Metazoa; Chordata; Mammalia; Artiodactyla; Camelidae. The record is from Rfam by way of RNAcentral. RNAcentral also lists the same sequence under 2 other names.